Molecule: ribosomal RNA, 380 nt
Filed under: uncultured eukaryote
Lineage: Eukaryota
Description: SSU rRNA
Rfam family: Eukaryotic small subunit ribosomal RNA
Source: RNAcentral
AGCUCCAAUAGCGUAUAUUAAAGUUGUUGCGGUUAAAAGCUCGUAGUUGGAUUUCUGUCGAAGAAGGACGGUCCGCUCUUUGAGUGAGUAUCUGCACCGGCUUUGACUUUUGCGUGGGGAGCGCUUCUGUGCUUGGUUGCAUGGAGUGAUAUCCACGUCUUUUACUUUGAGGAAAUUAGAGUGCUCAUGGCAGGCCAGCGCCUUGAAUAUAUUAGCAUGGAAUAAUAAUAUAGGACCUUUGUUCUAUUUUGUUGGUUUCUAGAACGGAGGUAAUGAUUAAUAGGGAUAAUUGGGGGCAUCUGUAUUAACGCGUCAGAGGUGGAAUUCUUGGAUUGCGUUACGACAAACUACUGCGAAAGCAUUUGCCAAGGAUGUUUUCA